CAGCCGCCGCGGGAAUACGUAGGGUGCGAGCGUUCAUCGGAUUUACUGGGCGUAAAGCGUGCGCAGGCGGCCCGUUAAGACAGGUGUGAAAUCCCUGGGCUCAACCUAGGAAUUGCGCUUGUGACUGGCGGGCUCGAGUACGGUAGAGGGGGGUGGAAUUCCUGGUGUAGCAGUGAAAUGCGUAGAGAUCAGGAGGAACACCGAUGGCGAAGGCAGCCCCCUGGGCCUGUACUGAAGCUCAUGCACGAAAGCGUGGGGAGCAAACAGGAUUAGAUACCCUGGUAGUCCACGCCCUAAACGAUGGGUACUAGCCGUUUGGUGCGCGAUAGCGCUGAGUGGCGAAGCUAACGCGUGAAGUACCCCGCCUGGGGAGUACGGCCGCAAGGUUGAAACUUAAAGGAAUUGGCGGG
This 410-nucleotide ribosomal RNA is filed under the name uncultured microorganism. Its description in RNAcentral is "bacterial SSU rRNA". It matches the Rfam family "Bacterial small subunit ribosomal RNA", at positions 509 to 917 of the family's 1533-position model. The record is from RNAcentral.